This is a long non-coding RNA of Armigeres subalbatus, 512 nucleotides long. RefSeq lists it as uncharacterized. NCBI's taxonomy places the organism in Eukaryota, Metazoa, Arthropoda, Insecta, Diptera, Culicidae. The record is from RefSeq and is a predicted model, not a curated record. The transcript is spliced from 3 exons.
CCGAGGUGGAAAUUGCGUCGUAGCUAAUCGCUCUAUACAAUUUUUUCCACGCUCUCCAUUUUAUUCUGGUGGAGAUAGUUAAAUCGAUCGGAUCGUUUUUCGAAAUUUUCUUGAAAGUGACGCCAACUUAUUAUUUCUAGUUUUUUAUCUUAAUUCGAAUUUCUUAAUUUGGAGAGUUCGGAUAGUUUGACCAAUUGCUGAAAUAUUAGUUAAAUAAUUGUGACUAUUCAGGCGUCGUCAAGCCCAUCCAACGUGGGCGGCCUGUUUUGGAUUGGGUCACGUGGUUUCCACGCGCACGGUAGUCGAAGGUUGUGCCGGCUACGCUUCACUACGCCUAGACGAAGGUUGUUCCGGCUAGGAAAGUAGUGGGCCUGCGGUGGAAAAUUGGGAACCCAAGUUCAGCAAACGUUUGCAAGGUGUGCGUCCGUGAUUCGUCGGUCCGUGAUCCACUUUUGGUGAUCGACGAACGAAAGGCUCGUUCCGUCAAAGCGUGAGGCGUAAGAGCAACACCA